AAACGGUGUGCAAUUGGUCCACA
RNAcentral lists this non-coding RNA (23 nucleotides) under Arabidopsis thaliana (thale cress). Lineage: Eukaryota; Viridiplantae; Streptophyta; Magnoliopsida; Brassicales; Brassicaceae. The record is from RNAcentral.